GAUGAACGCUGGCGGCGUGCCUAAUACAUGCAAGUCGAGCGAACGGACGAGAAGCUUGCUUCUCUGAUGUUAGCGGCGGACGGGUGAGUAACACGUGGAUAACCUACCUAUAAAACUGGGAUAACUUCGGGAAACCGGAGCUAAUACCGGAUAAUAUUUUGAACCGCAUGGUUCAAAAGUGAAAGACGGUCUUGCUGUCACUUAUAGAUGGAUCCGCGCUGCAUUAGCUAGUUGGUAAGGUAACGGCUUACCAAGGCAACGAUGCAUAGCCGACCUGAGAGGGUGAUCGGCCACACUGGAACUGAGACACGGUCCAGACUCCUACGGGAGGCAGCAGUAGGGAAUCUUCCGCAAUGGGCGAAAGCCUGACGGAGCAACGCCGCGUGAGUGAUGAAGGUCUUCGGAUCUGAAAACUCUGUUAUUAGGGAAGAACAUAUGUGUAAGUAACUGUGCACAUCUUGACGGUACCUAAUCAGAAAGCCACGGCUAACUACGUG
This 497-nucleotide ribosomal RNA is filed under the name uncultured bacterium. RNAcentral describes it as "partial 16S ribosomal RNA". It matches the Rfam family "Bacterial small subunit ribosomal RNA", at positions 28 to 507 of the family's 1533-position model. The record is from RNAcentral.